GUGCGAAAGCGUGGGGAGCAAACGGGAUUAGAUACCCCGGUAGUCCACGCCGUAAACGAUGUCUACUAGCCGUUGGAGGACUUGAUCCUUUAGUGGCGCAGCUAACGCGAUAAGUAGACCGCCUGGGGAGUACGGUCGCAAGAUUAAAACUCAAAUGAAUUGACGGGGGCCCGCACAAGCGGUGGAGCAUGUGGUUUAAUUCGAAGCAACGCGAAGAACCUUACCUACUCUUGACAUCCAGUGAACUUUUGAGAGAUCAAUUGGUGCCUUCGGGAACACUGAGACAGGUGCUGCAUGGCUGUCGUCAGCUCGUGUUGUGAAAUGUUGGGUUAAGUCCCGUAACGAGCGCAACCCUUGUCCUUAGUUACCAUCAUUAAGUUGGGGACUCUAAGGAGACUGCCGGUGACAAACCGGAGGAAGGCGGGGACGACGUCAAGUCAUCAUGGCCCUUACGAGUAGGGCUACACACGUGCUACAAUGGCAUGUACAAAGGGUUGCCAAGCCGCGAGGUGGAGCUAAUCCCAUAAAGCAUGUCGUAGUCCGGAUUGGAGUCUGCAACUCGACUCCAUGAAGUCGGAAUCGCUAGUAAUCGUGAAUCAGAAUGUCACGGUGAAUACGUUCCCGGGCCUUGUACACACCGCCCGUCACACCAUGGGAGUGGGUUGCUCCAGAAGUAGAUAGCUUAACCUUCGGGAGGGCGUUUACCACGGAGUGAUUCAUGACUGGGGUGAAGUCGUAACAAGGUAACCGUA
RNAcentral lists this ribosomal RNA (752 nucleotides) under uncultured bacterium. Its description in RNAcentral is "bacterial SSU rRNA". It matches the Rfam family "Bacterial small subunit ribosomal RNA", at positions 751 to 1504 of the family's 1533-position model. The record is from RNAcentral.